CCCUAGUUAGUUCACUUGGUAGAACGCUCCACUGGAAAUGGAGAGGUCCUGGGUUCGUUACCGGGAGCAGGCG
RNAcentral lists this transfer RNA (73 nucleotides) under Ixodes scapularis (black-legged tick). RNAcentral's name for it is "tRNA-Ser for anticodon GGA". It matches the Rfam family "tRNA". Rfam says of the family: Transfer RNA (tRNA) molecules are approximately 80 nucleotides in length. Their secondary structure includes four short double-helical elements and three loops (D, anti-codon, and T loops). Further hydrogen bonds mediate the characteristic L-shaped molecular structure. tRNAs have two regions of fundamental functional importance: the anti-codon, which is responsible for specific mRNA codon recognition, and the 3' end, to which the tRNAs corresponding amino acid is attached (by aminoacyl-tRNA synthetases). tRNAs cope with the degeneracy of the genetic code in two manners: having more than one tRNA (with a specific anti-codon) for a particular amino acid; and 'wobble' base-pairing, i.e. permitting non-standard base-pairing at the 3rd anti-codon position. Lineage: Eukaryota; Metazoa; Arthropoda; Arachnida; Ixodida; Ixodidae. The record is from RNAcentral.